GGGGACUGCAAAUCCUUUAUCCCCAGUUCAAAUCCGGGUGUCGCCU
Molecule: transfer RNA, 46 nt
Filed under: Phoenix dactylifera (date palm)
Lineage: Eukaryota; Viridiplantae; Streptophyta; Magnoliopsida; Arecales; Arecaceae
Also listed under: 4 other names
Description: partial tRNA-Cys
Source: RNAcentral